UCAGACGUUUUUUUUUUCCCUUGCUUUGAUUUGUUCAGGUUAUGAUGAAUUCUUUGAAUAUGGUAUUUCCUAUUUGUUUUCUUCCUUUUCCCCACUGCCCUCCCCCUCUAUCUGUGCUCAUGCCUGUCAGUUUUUGUCUAGUAUGUGCUUUGCCUGUGGUUUCUAAUAUUUGUGGGUUUGUCCUUCACAGUGUCUGUGUAUCGAGACACUUUGCACUGUAGGCACACUGAUUUUCCCUCUGGCUGCUGUCAAGGAGUUGUGAAAGUUUCUCUUCUGUGAAUGUGGAAAGGGAACUUGUGAGCCUGCUGACCCUGCAGGGAACCCAAACAAGUGAAAUUUGCAAUAUUAUUCAUCUGUUCUCGUUACUUCUUCAAGAACCAUCCCUGCAGGUUACUGGCAGUAUGUGCUUCAUGGCUUCUUACCCAGAGCCGGAUGCAGAAAGGAAAGUAGUUAACAUCUUCUACUUAGCUCCUUCAGCUUGUUCACAGAGUCCAAAGAUCUUUCUUGCUGCCGCUCAAGGAGAUGACAUUCAGUUUACUGUAAUGCUACAGUAGUGGCUGCUCUAGGAAGGCAUUCAGUUUCCUCAGCAAGGCAGGUGGAUUACUAAGGUACUUUAGCCUGCUCUCGUACAUGUGCUUUGACACCAGGAUACGCUCAGAAGACAGUUUUUGCAUCAGGCACUUCUCUGCGUCUGAAGUUUUCAAUGAAAAGACUGUUACAGGCUUUGGCCUAAGCUCUCUUUGCCAUGUAAAUAAGUAAUGAAAGCCAGGUGGUCCUGGCCAGCACCUGGAUGCACAUGGACUUCCAAAUCACGUCUAUCUUCUUUAUACAGUGAUUCUACUUGAAAUAUAAGUUUAAAUCUCUCUUAAUGCAUCUUACAAAAAUUCUUUUUGCAGCUGCAUGUUGUCAGUAUUGCAGAAGGAAGCUGAGGAAUCAGGACUGCACACAGCUUCUUUCCCAGCACCAGCUAAAGUCUUGAACAUGGAUCCCAUAUGACCUGAGAAGAAACUUUUACACAACAUCCAGCUUUGGCUCCCAGUGUGCAGGAUUUUCCUGUGGAGCAGUACUGCUUGUAAACUAGCAUCUUUAUUAAAAUGAAAUGAGCAAGCUCAAAGGAAAAUUGGUCGUGAUCACAAGGGGUUACUGGAGCAGGGUUAACCUGAUUGCAAUCAAUAGAACAGUGCCUGAGCAAUUCUUGAUCAAUGACCACUUGUGGGCUGUGGUCCAUAAUGGUUUUCAGCUGUGGCCUGCCUCAGUCCACCUUAUAGCUACACCUUAGAGACAGUUGCUUUCUGCUCCUCUCUGUGUUGUGAUGCUUUGCAGCUCAGGAUGUCUGCUCUCUGCUACAUUCAGGUUUGUUUUUACAUUUCUACAUUUAAACUAUGUGGCAAAUUUUUCUUUCCCGAUGGGUGUUUUGUUUGUUUGUUGUCAUCAAGGUUCCCUUCCCUUAAAGUCAGGUGAUAUCAAUACUACCAGAACCUUCUGCCUUCGUUCUGGUGCUUUCACUUCCUCUCCUCUGCUAAUGACUCAGGGGCAUGUUUUCUUGUCAUUGGAUAGAUGGGCAUUCAGAAGGUUUGCCUGGCUUUUGCUAUUAAGAACAUGGUUUUGUAGGCAUGCUUUUUUGUUUGUUUGUUUAAAAAGCAGUUAUUUUUCUUUGAGUACAAAUAGAAGGAAGAGCCUAAGCUUUCAAGAUACUAAAGAUGUUUUGCCACACGGUGAGUUCUGUUGAUUUUCAGGUUACCUGCUGAAAAUGUCAUGGCAUCAAUCUCAGAACAGUGCAGAAGGUGCAGAGAUGCCCGUUGGCUUUGUCUGCUGUCAUUAUUCAUCCUCUGUUACACACACAAGCUUAUUAAAACACAGUGGGUCUGUGAUUGUGUUUGCUGUCUUCCUUUUUGUUUCUGUUCUAUCUGGGCUUUUACCCUUCACCUACCAACGUUCAGUGGCAGCUAGUUGUGUUCUUUUCCUCUCUUGUGCAUGUUUGUUUUAUGACACGUAUGAGCUAACAGAUAGAAGGAAGCCAGGCCAGGGCUGCCCUGCUGGAGAUCAGCUUUUUGCACAGUUCUCUGGUGUGUGCCCCUCACUUCUGGUCAGCAAUAGUGUAGUGAAAGUCAAUAGCAGACAAAUAAGUAGACACGAUGUCAUCCUUGCAGAUAGGGAGGACUUGGAGGCAGCCAGCAGAUCCUGUAUGUGUUUUGAGAAUGUUUCUGGAGACAGAGUUAUGAUCCAAGAAUGUGCAAAUAGCUGCCCAUCCCAGUCUUACGUGCCUGCAAUUAAGGAGAAGUGCUAAACCAUCUCCAGCCUUGAAUAGCAUACCAGAUCUUAAAGGUGCAUCUUGCUCUAUUGAACCAAUGGGGGAUAUUUUUCUUGAGGAGUGAAGAACAAACUACUUGAAUGGAAUCUCUUCCUCAGUUUAUCACUGCCAGAGACUAAAACAGAGCUGGUGGGUGAGACCUGGUAGGCUGCCCAGUGAAAGGCUGCGUGUGUUGCUCCAGGUCCAUGUGGAGAUUCAGGACAAAGGAGCCCACCAGCAAAUGCAGACCCCCAGGGAGGGAAGAUCUCUUUGAGUCAGCCAGGAAGCACGUCGAUGUCUGCUGCCCACUGUUUUCCCACAGACCAGUGUCCUCAGGAAGGGCAAGGUUAGCAGGGCUAUCAGCAGACUGCUUCAGCGUGGAGAUUUUUUUAUGAUUGUGUUAACAUUUCUUUUCCUGUUGUUGUACAGAAAUUAUGACUCUGAGUGUCAGUGUUGAGAUGAAAGAGGAAAUCAUUUUGCUUGGAGCAAAUAUUCAAAGCUAGCUCUUAUGUUCUUCAUUUAAAAAAUACAUUUUCAAAAUCGUUCUGAUGGGCAGCUGUUUACUUUUGGGGAUGUUUGUUCAUUGUUGUUUUUGUAAUCACAGAAUAGUUUGAGGUGGAAGGGACCCCUCAAUGUCAUCUUGUCUAUCUCCCCUGCACCGUACGGGGACACCUACAGAACAGUCAGGUGCUCAGAGCCCCACUCAGCCUGACCUUGAAUGUCUCCAGGAAUGGGACUUCCACCUCCUCUCUGGGCAGCCUGUACCGGUACCUCACCACCCUUAUUGAAAAAAAACUUUGUCCAAUCUAGGUCUCCCCUCUUUUCAUUUGAAACCAUUUCUCCUUGCUCUGGAUCACAACAGAUCCUGACAAAGAAUCUGUGCCCUCCUUUUAGACACUGAAAGGCUACUCUCAGGUCUCCCUGAAGGCUCUCUUCUUGGGGUUAAACAGCCUGAGCUCUUAGCCUGUCCCUUCAGGUAAGGGACAUGUCCCUUGGAUUCUUUCUGGGACCCUCCUCUGUUCCCACUCUAAGAGGUCUAUGUGUCUCCUGUACUCUUCUGUGUCAUUUUGUACUCAGCAACCUACAUACUUAUCACUGUCUUAUCAUCCUGUGUAACUGAAAUCUGAUUCUGAAAAUGUCCAUAAACCCAAUUUUUAAUGAGAUUAUUUUGGGGGAAAAUGGCAGGCAACAUAGGUCUUUCAUGUGAGGAGCGUGUAAUAACUGAAUGAUGUGAGAGGAGAGCCUCUGGCUGGAAGGAGUGGGCUUUCAGGAUGUACCCAUACAAUUUUUUUCUUGAUAGUGCUGUGUCAAAAUAAAAAUCAGUGAUUAAAAGUCUG
Coturnix japonica (Japanese quail) is the source of this 3627-nucleotide long non-coding RNA. RefSeq lists it as uncharacterized. The record is from RefSeq and is a predicted model, not a curated record. NCBI's taxonomy places the organism in Eukaryota, Metazoa, Chordata, Aves, Galliformes, Phasianidae.